Molecule: ribosomal RNA, 120 nt
Filed under: Triticum aestivum (bread wheat)
Lineage: Eukaryota; Viridiplantae; Streptophyta; Magnoliopsida; Poales; Poaceae
Description: partial small subunit ribosomal RNA
Source: RNAcentral
CCACGAAAGUGCGAUCUCCUCACCCAUACGAUCAAAUCCUCACUGGUAGAAAGCCGAACCGAGUUCACGUCUCAGCUGAAGUCGCCUUUCUGCAAUAUGAAACCUAACACAUUCGACUGA